UGGCUCAGGAUGAACGCUGGCGGCGUGCUUAACACAUGCAAGUCGAACGGAACUGCUUUUGAAGAUUCUCUUCGGAGAUGACUCAGUUGUAGUUUAGUGGCGGACGGGUGAGUAACCGCGUGAGUAACCUGCCCUUGAGAGGGGGAUAACGUUCUGAAAAGAACGCUAAUACCGCAUAAUACUAUUGAACCGCAUGAUUUGAUAGUCAAAACUCCGGUGCUCAAGGAUGGACUCGCGUCCGAUUAGCUAGUUGGUAAGGUAACGGCUUACCAAGGCGACGAUCGGUAGCCGGACUGAGAGGUUAAACGGCCACAUUGGGACUGAGACACGGCCCAGACUCCUACGGGAGGCAGCAGUGGGGAAUA
Molecule: ribosomal RNA, 365 nt
Filed under: uncultured rumen bacterium
Lineage: Bacteria
Description: bacterial SSU rRNA
Rfam family: Bacterial small subunit ribosomal RNA
Source: RNAcentral